ACCCCGGCCGCAGAGGUGAUGAGACGAGCUGCCCCCGGCCUCGGCCGGUCUGAAAACUGGGGCUUGGAAAAGGAGCUCCCAGGAACCCACAGACCUGACACACUACACGCCCAGCAGACUUCACUAGCCACCUUGCUGUGCAGAUGGAGAAGGGCGUUGGGACAAUCUGUCACUAAAUCAUGCCCUUCCCCAAAAUAGGAGAGAGGUAUUUUCCAUUCAGAAAUCUGGAUUUCCAAGUAAAAAGUUCUGGAAUCUAUUUUGGUUGAAGAUAAUUUUUGAAGCUGUAUUAUAACAUGAAUAGUAUAAGGUGGUACUUAUUGUGAACUAGUUAAGCACAAUGUGGAGUUCAGCUUUGCCUUCUGGGCUCCGGCCUUUGACCCUUGGAUGCACUUACAUUGUCAUUUUAUAUAGUUCAAGGAGGAAACACCUGCAGUUAAUGUGAAACUUAGGCUUUCAGCUAAAAGAUACAUAGUCACUGUAACUGCAUGACAGCUAAGCACUGUUGAAAUGAGC
This is a non-coding RNA of Taeniopygia guttata (zebra finch), 513 nucleotides long. Lineage: Eukaryota; Metazoa; Chordata; Aves; Passeriformes; Estrildidae. The record is from RefSeq and is a predicted model, not a curated record.